Molecule: small RNA, 76 nt
Filed under: Xanthomonas vasicola pv. vasculorum NCPPB 895
Lineage: Bacteria; Pseudomonadati; Pseudomonadota; Gammaproteobacteria; Lysobacterales; Lysobacteraceae
Description: sX9
Source: RNAcentral
ACGCGUCAGUGGUCCGGUUCGGUUUCCGUACGCUGUCCACGCAAGCCUGACAACCGCUCGCUGCAUUGUGUUCGCC